AUGAACGCUAGCGACAGGCUUAACACAUGCAAGUCGAGGGGUAACAGGGUAGCAAUACCGCUGACGACCGGCGCACGGGUGAGUAACGCGUAUGCAACCUGCCUAUAACUGGGGAAUAGCUCCCUGAAAGGGGGAAUUAACACCGCAUAACACUAUUGAUUCGCAUGGAUUGGUAGUUAAAUGUAGCGAUACAGGUUAUAGAUGGGCAUGCGUGACAUUAACUAGUUGGUGAGGUAACGGCUCACCAAGGCUACGAUGUCUAGGGGUUCUGAGAGGAAGGUCCCCCCACACUGGUACUGAGACACGGACCAGACUCCUACGGGAGGCAGCAGUGAGGAAUAUUGGUCAAUGGGCGCAAGCCUGAACCAGCCAUGUCGCGUGCAGGAAGACUGCCCUAUGGGUUGUAAACUGCUUUUAUAGUAGAAGAAACACAUCUACGUGUAGAUGUCUGCCAGUAUACUAUGAAUAAGCAUCGGCUAACUCCGUGCCAGCCGCUGC
RNAcentral lists this ribosomal RNA (498 nucleotides) under uncultured bacterium. RNAcentral's name for it is "bacterial SSU rRNA". It matches the Rfam family "Bacterial small subunit ribosomal RNA", at positions 29 to 518 of the family's 1533-position model. The record is from RNAcentral.